This 185-nucleotide ribosomal RNA is filed under the name Chloropicon mariensis. Its description in RNAcentral is "partial Bacterial large subunit ribosomal RNA". It matches the Rfam family "Bacterial large subunit ribosomal RNA", at positions 296 to 482 of the family's 2925-position model. The record is from RNAcentral. Lineage: Eukaryota; Viridiplantae; Chlorophyta; Chloropicophyceae; Chloropicales; Chloropicaceae.
AGGGCACGGGGAGUCAGAAAGUCAUGUGUUAGUGGAAGGCCUCUGGAAGGGGUCGCCGUAGAGGGUGAGAGCCCCGUACACGAAAACGCUGCAUCUCCCGGACGUGUUUCCCAAGUAGCACCGAGCCCGUGAAAUUCGGUGUGAAUCUGGCGGGACCACCCGCUAAGCCUAAAUACUCCUUGGUG